GACGAACGCUGGCGGCGUGCUUAACACAUGCAAGUCGAACGGAAAGGCCCUGCUUUUGUGGGGUGCUCGAGUGGCGAACGGGUGAGUAACACGUGAGUAACCUGCCCUUGACUUUGGGAUAACUUCAGGAAACUGGGGCUAAUACCGGAUAGGAGCUCCUGCUGCAUGGUGGGGGUUGGAAAGUUUCGGCGGUUGGGGAUGGACUCGCGGCUUAUCAGCUUGUUGGUGGGGUAGUGGCUUACCAAGGCUUUGACGGGUAGCCGGCCUGAGAGGGUGACCGGCCACAUUGGGACUGAGAUACGGCCCAGACUCCUACGGGAGGCAGCAGUGGGGAAUAUUGCACGAUGGGCGGAGGCCUGAUGCAGCAACGCCGCGUGCGGGAUGACGGCCGUCGGGUUGUAGACCGCUUUCGCCUGUGACGAAGCGUGAGUGACGGUAAUAGGUAGAGGGACGCCGGCUAACUACGUG
Molecule: ribosomal RNA, 468 nt
Filed under: uncultured bacterium
Lineage: Bacteria
Description: partial 16S ribosomal RNA
Rfam family: Bacterial small subunit ribosomal RNA
Source: RNAcentral